GGAGGAAAGAAGAAGAGCAGUAAAGAAUCGAUGGCAGCCGCCCCAUUGCGUUUUGUGGUUUCUACCGUUUUGAUGAGCAGAAACGUAUCUUAAGAGGCAUUUUGCUGGAUUCAAGCAGAGCGGCACACUUGCCAGGUCAAAGUUUUCACUUUUCUUCUCCGUGAAUUUAACUGUCCGCUUUGGACCGUUAGGGUGCCUGAAUAUGCGUCAUCUGCUUGUUUUCUGUAGACCAACAGAAGCGUGUGAGGCGUAUCGAUUCAUGGCGCCAUCUAUAAACGGCAUUUCCCCAACACCUUUUGCAUUCAUGCAGCCCAGGAUCAUCACACUGCCACCUCUGUGCUUUGUUGUCUGGAUUAUGCAUUCACUGUGGUAGUGCUGGCCAGGUUAAAUCCAAUCAUGCUCGACCCUGUAUGAGUGGAACCAAUUAAUCUUGGUGUCAUCUGCCUAAGGAAUGCACUCCCAGUAUAGAACAGGCUUCUUUUCACUUUCACAUUCUUUAGUAAAAGUUUUAUCUGGAAGUUUGUUUUUUUAACGGACAAAAGGUCAGUGUUAUGCAUUGUCCUUCCCACUGUCUGAGCUACGUCAAGUCUUGCCCGUCUGUUUUUCAGAGCUAGACGGUGCAAGUAACACAUUUCCAUGGCAUCAUUACAGGAUCUGUGAUUAAUGCUACGCUUCAUUUUCUGCUUCCUCAUUACUGCUGAAAAUGUGGUAGAGCUGAAUUUUAGUUGGUCGCAGAUCUCCCUGUAUCCUUCUGUAGCACUGGGGUUUAUUUAAAUUCUCAUAUUUGUUUUCUUUCAGUUGUAUUUCAGGGAUUAGGACAUUUCUUCCAUUUAUUUGUUUUUUAUAGUUCAUAAUUAACUACUGUUAUUGGCAGCUUAAACAGAAUGCAUUUAUUGAGACAGUUUUGAAUUGUUUAGCAUUGAAGGCAUGUAUUUUAUUUCUAUUUAUAAUAUAUGCACAUUUUUAAUUUAAUACCAGCAACACAUUUAAAUGUAAAAAACUGGCAUGUCCACCAGUGCUGCAUCACCCUUUCUGCUCUUUUAACUGCUUAAAGUUUGAUUCUUUUUGGCCAAUUCAAUGGGUCACGGGCCAUCAGCCUCCAUCCUUGAAAAACACAUAACGUAGAUGGCGGCAUAUGUUGCUGUAAAAGCUCUGUACAUCGUUAGCAAUAAUGGUGCCUUCACAGAUGUGCAAGUUAAAUGUGCCAUGUUCACUAAAGCCUCUCCACACCCAAGGCUGUUGACAAGCCAGAUGGUCCCUCUCCUUUAGUCUCAUCGAUGUUUUGUCCAUGAUUUUUAAAAACAAAAAAGUUUGACUGGAUAAACCACAUGAAAGACUUCCUCUUUGUGUCUGUCGAUCUUAAAUGAGCUCUAUAUUAUGUUUAUAUUAUGUUUUCUGUCAUCAGAUGAUGAUGAAACUUUUAACUUGCAUUUGUUGUAGGGACAAAGUGCAAUCAAUGAGAAGGUAAAUACAGUUUUUCAAAAGUGUUCUUGUACCCAUUCAGCGAUUUCCACUACAGAAUUAUAUCUGUUUUCUGAUGCAGGGCCUUCUGAGUACCCAGAGAUCACAGCUGUUUAAUACUGGUUUUAGGCCUUGUCCUUAUGCAUAGAGUUCUCUCUACAGUCUGUGAGUUCUUUAAUUUUUUAAUGGUUUAACAUGGCGUGUAUCAGGGGAAUAUAAACAUUUCUUUAUCUUGUCUUUUUCAUGUGUGGCCCUUAAUCACAUGCCAAAUAACGAAGCAAGGAAACAAAAGGAAAAAAAAAGGCCACACUUUUAAAAUGCUAAUGUGUCUCUUUAGAUGAUUGCCAUUUAUGUUUAUAACUGUCACUCAUAUCAUGCUGCUAUGUCAUAGUAUGCAUUAAUUGGUCAUUUUAUUAGGUACAGCACACUAGUACUGCAUUGCUUUAAGAGCUGUCUUAAUUCUUUGCAUAGAUUCAACGAGGUGCUGGAAAAUUUGCUCUGAGAUUUUCAUCCAUAUUGGCACGAUAGCAUCACUCAGUCGCUGCAGAUGUGCUGUCUGUAAAUCCAUGAUGUGGAUUGAGCUCUGGUGACUGUGGACAUGAUUUGAGUACAGUGAAGUCAUUCCCAUGUUCAAAAGAAAAUAGUUUGAGAUUAUUUAAGCAUUGUGAAAUGCUGCAAGUAGCUAUCAGAAGAUGGGUAACGCUGUGGUCAUGGGAUGGACAUGGUCAGCAUCUGUUUCAGAUUUCAGGAUGUUGUGUGUUCAGAGAUGCUUCUCUGCAUACCUUGGUUAUAACGAGUGGUUAUUUGAGUUACUGUGUCCUAAUUAUAAGCUUGAAGCAGUCUGGCCAUUCUCCUGA
Molecule: long non-coding RNA, 2318 nt
Organism: Oreochromis aureus
Lineage: Eukaryota; Metazoa; Chordata; Actinopteri; Cichliformes; Cichlidae
Exons: 3
Source: RefSeq, a predicted model, not a curated record